This 550-nucleotide ribosomal RNA is filed under the name uncultured bacterium. RNAcentral's name for it is "partial 16S ribosomal RNA". It matches the Rfam family "Bacterial small subunit ribosomal RNA", at positions 355 to 919 of the family's 1533-position model. The record is from RNAcentral.
UGGGGAAUAUUGCACAAUGGGCGAAAGCCUGAUGCAGCAACGCCGCGUGAGUGAUGAAGGUCUUCGGAUUGUAAAGCUCUGUCUUUUGGGACGAUAAUGACGGUACCAAAGGAGGAAGCCACGGCUAACUACGUGCCAGCAGCCGCGGUAAUACGUAGGUGGCGAGCGUUGUCCGGAUUUACUGGGCGUAAAGGGUGCGUAGGCGGAUGUUUAAGUGAGAUGUGAAAUACCCGGGCUUAACUUGGGUGCUGCAUUUCAAACUGGAUAUCUAGAGUGCAGGAGAGGAGAAUGGAAUUCCUAGUGUAGCGGUAAAAUGCGUAGAGAUUAGGAAGAACACCAGUGGCGAAGGCGAUUCUCUGGACUGUAACUGACGCUGAGGCACGAAAGCGUGGGUAGCAAACAGGAUUAGAUACCCUGGUAGUCCACGCCGUAAACGAUGAGUACUAGGUGUAGGAGGUAUCGACCCCUUCUGUGCCGCAGUAAACACAUUAAGUACUCCGCCUGGGAAGUACGAUCGCAAGAUUAAAACUCUAAAGUGAAUUGACGGGGU